ACGAACGCUGGCGGCGUGCUUAACACAUGCAAGUCGAACGGAAAGGCCCUGCUUGCAGGGUACUCGAGUGGCGAACGGGUGAGUAACACGUGGGUGAUCUGCCCUGCGCUUCGGGAUAAGCCUGGGAAACUGGGUCUAAUACCGGAUAGGAGCCAUUUUUAGUGUGAUGGUUGGAAAGUUUUUUCGGUGUAGGAUGAGCUCGCGGCCUAUCAGCUUGUUGGUGGGGUAAUGGCCUACCAAGGCGGCGACGGGUAGCCGGCCUGAGAGGGUGGACGGCCACAUUGGGACUGAGAUACGGCCCAGACUCCUACGGGAGGCAGCAGUGGGGAAUAUUGCACAAUGGGCGCAAGCCUGAUGCAGCGACGCCGCGUGGGGGAUGACGGCCUUCGGGUUGUAAACUCCUUUCGCUAGGGACGAAGCUUUUUGUGACGGUACCUAGAUAAGAAGCACCGGCUAACUACGU
Molecule: ribosomal RNA, 463 nt
Filed under: uncultured bacterium
Lineage: Bacteria
Description: partial 16S ribosomal RNA
Rfam family: Bacterial small subunit ribosomal RNA
Source: RNAcentral